GCACUCCCCCAGAAAAUUUUUGUUGUUACAUGCUCUGAGAUUGAUUCUAACGCAAUCUGGCUAAAGAAAUGAGGGUACUGCUGCUUUGAGGGUACUGGUGGUUAAGCCACAAAAUGAAGAUGUCCUAUAAAACAAAUGCUCGCCACGACUCAACAGCAAAUGCUUGUAACACGACUGUUCCCUGUCUCUCGGGAAGUACGAAAAGAAUUGUUGGGUGUUCGACUGUUUCCAGGAAAGAACAAAUCUGUGCUCAGACUCGAGAAGUAGCGUGUACUAAGAUAGUUCUUCCGGAAGUCAUAGAUAAAGGUCUCAAUAUUGUUGAAGUAGCACAUGAUAAUCAGCCAGUAGUCAAGAGAUUUGUCACUGAUGAUCUUAACCUUACAAACUCGUACGACACAUGGCAUGGCACUAAGAAUGUAGCAAAGAAGAUGAAGAAAGUAGAAUUGGGACCAAAAAGGCUCAAGGAAAGACGUGGUUUCCAGAGUUAUCUGACAAACGUAAAAGUACGAAAGUUCACUUGUACUACUGUAUGAAGAACUGUGAGCAGUCAGCAGACAAUCUAAGAAAGAACAUUCUGAAUAUCGUUAAACAUUAUCAGAACGAGCACUCAGAUUGUGACGAAGCGUCACCCUGUAAGCGUCCAGGGUACAAGCCCACGAAGAUAAAACUAGAGGAUCCUCUUGCAAUCGAGUCAUUCACGUCAGCACUAAAAGACACCCUUAUUUACAAGAAUGCCGAAUCAUAUUGUCGAUGUCGAGACACAUUCUGGGUGGAGUCUUUCAAUCACCAGUUGCUCACAUACAUCUCGAAAUGUGUACACUUUGGGGAAGCUACAUUCAACAUGAGAAUGAACCUUGCUAUUAUGGACUGGAACGAGAAUGUACGUAGAGAGUGUACAAGUGAACGACUGGUUCAGGACAUGAGAAGACCGGAUCGUAGGACUCCCGUAAGAGUGCUGAAGGAAAAAUCGUUCAACUUUGCCGGAGAAUAUGGGAGAAUUACGAGCAGCAGAGAAAAGUUGACCUCAGUGAGUUUGUAGAGGACGUGCAACCUGAGCAAUCAGAUGAGCCAGUAGAUGAAAACGAGGACCUAUUAAACGAUGGUGUACAUGUACUUGACGAAGAUCUUUAUGAAGACAUAUAAACAUUUUAUAUUUGCAUUUUACAUAAUUAAACAAUAAAGGAAGUAGAAGACUGGAAGUCUGUGUAUGGAACUCCAUCUGGAUUUGGGAAUCGUUCACGCACCUCCUGGAAAAGAUUCGUGAGGGUCAGUUGUUCCCUCUGUUGGAUGCUAAUGAUGAUCGACCCAUUGGACGUCAGAUAAAAAUACAAUCGACCUAAGGAACAGUGAGUACUGCCACGUGCAGAGUGUGACUCUUUCCCUAACCAAAGUAGUUUGUGCUUUUUGCGCUGUACUCCCCCCUUGGAUGUGUGACUGUGUUUUGUAGGUUUGUGCUUUUUGCGCUGUACUCCCCCCUUGGAUGUGUGACUGUGUUUUGUAGUUUGUGCUUUUUGCGCUGUACUCCCCCCUUGCAUGUGUGACUGUGUUUUGUAGUUUGUGCUUUUUGCGCUGUACUCCCCCCUUGCAUUUGUGACUGUGUUUUGUAGUUUGUGCUUUUUGCGCUGUACUCCCCCCUUGCAUGUGUGACUGUGUUUUGUAGUUUGUGCUUUUUGCGCUGUACUCCCCCCUUGCAUGUGUGACUGUGUUUUGUAGUUUGUGUGGUUUUUGCGCUGUACUCCCCUCUUGCAUGUGUGACGGUGUUUAGUCACUAGCAAUAGUUUUACGUUCCCGUGAGUGGGUUCAAUUCACUAGCAAUAGUUUUGCGUUCCCGUGAGUGGGUUCAAUUCACUAGCAAUAGUUUUGCGUUCCCGUGAGUGGGUUCAAUUCACUAGCAAUAGUUUUGCCGUGAGUGCAUGGGUUCAAUUCACUAGCAAUAGUUUUAUGUUCCCGUGAGUGGGUUCAAUUCACUAGCAAUAGUUUUGCGUUCCCGUGAGUGGGUUCAAUUCACUAGCAAUAGUUUUAAGUUGCCGUGAGUGCAUGGGUUCAAUUCACUAGCAAUAGUUUUACGUUCCCGUGAGUGGGUUCAAUUCACUAGCAAUAGUUUUACGUUCCCUUGAGUGGGUUCAAUUCACUAGCAAUAGUUUUGCGUUCCCGUGAGUGGGUUCAAUUCACUAGCAAUAGUUUUGCGUUCCCGUGAGUGGGUUCAAUUCACUAGCAAUAGUUUUAAGUUGCCGUGAGUGCAUGGGUUCAAUUCACUAGCAAUAGUUUUACGUUCCCGUGAGUGGGUUCAAUUCACUAGCAAUAGUUUUAAGUUGCCGUGAGUGCAUGGGUUCAAUUCACUAGCAAUAGUUUUACGUUCCCGUGAGUGGGUUCAAUUCACUAGCAAUAGUUUUGCGUUCCCGUGAGUGGAUUCAAUUCACUAGCAAUAGUUUUACGUUCCCGUGGGUGGGUUCAAUUCACUAGCAAUAGUUUUACGUUCCCGUGAGUGGGUUCAAUUCACUAGCAAUAGUUUUACGUUCCCGUGAGUGCAUGGGUUCAAUUCACUAGCAAUAGUUUUACGUUCCCGUGAGUGGGUUCAAUUCACUAGCAAUAGUUUUGCGUUCCCGUGGGUGGGUUCAAUUCACUAGCAAUAGUUUUACGUUCCCGUGAGUGGGUUCAAUUCACUAGCAAUAGUUUUAAGUUGCCGUGAGUGGGUUCAAUUCACUAGCAAUAGUUUUAAGUUGCCGUGAGUGCAUGGGUUCACUUCACUAGCAAUAGUUUUACGUUCCCUUGAGUGGGUUCAAUUCACUAGCAAUAGUUUUGCGUUCCCGUGAGUGGGUUCAAUUCACUAGCAAUAGUUUUACUUUCCCGUGAGUGGGUUCAAUUCACUAGCAAUAGUUUUACGUUCCCGUGAGUGCAUGGGUUCAAUUCACUGACAAUAGUUUUACGUUCUUGUGAGUGGGUUCAAUUCACUAGCAAUAGUUUUGCGUUCCCUUGAGUGGGUUCAAUUCACUAGCAAUAGUUUUGCGUUUCCGUGAGUGGGUUCAAUUCACUAGCAAUAGUUUUGCGUUCCCGUGAGUGGGUUAAAUUCACUAGCAAUAGUUUUAAGUUGCCGUGAGUGCAUGGGUUCAAUUCACUAGCAAUAGUUUUAAGUUGCCGUGAGUGCAUGGGUUCAAUUCACUAGCAAUAGUUUUACGUUCCCGUGAGUGGGUUCAAUUCACUAGCAAUAGUUUUGCGUUCCCGUGAGUGGAUUCAAUUCACUAGCAAUAGUUUUACGUUCCCGUGGGUGGGUUCAAUUCACUAGCAAUAGUUUUACGUUCCCGUGAGUGGGUUCAAUUCACUAGCAAUAGUUUUACGUUCCCGUGAGUGCAUGGGUUCAAUUCACUAGCAAUAGUUUUACGUUCCCGUGAGUGGGUUCAAUUCACUAGCAAUAGUUUUACGUUCCCGUGAGUGCAUGGGUUCAAUUCACUAGCAAUAGUUUUAUGUUCCCGUGAGUGGGUUCAAUUCACUAGCAAUAGUUUUGCGUUCCCGUGGGUGGGUUCAAUUCACUAGCAAUAGUUUUACGUUCCCGUGAGUGGGUUCAAUUCACUAGCAAUAGUUUUAAGUUGCCGUGAGUGGGUUCAAUUCACUAGCAAUAGUUUUAAGUUGCCGUGAGUGCAUGGGUUCACUUCACUAGCAAUAGUUUUACGUUCCCUUGAGUGGGUUCAAUUCACUAGCAAUAGUUUUGCGUUCCCGUGAGUGGGUUCAAUUCACUAGCAAUAGUUUUACUUUCCCGUGAGUGGGUUCAAUUCACUAGCAAUAGUUUUACGUUCCCGUGAGUGCAUGG
This is an RNA transcript of Halichondria panicea, 3805 nucleotides long. RefSeq lists it as uncharacterized. The transcript has 11 exons. The record is from RefSeq and is a predicted model, not a curated record. Lineage: Eukaryota; Metazoa; Porifera; Demospongiae; Suberitida; Halichondriidae.